RNAcentral lists this ribosomal RNA (454 nucleotides) under uncultured bacterium. Its description in RNAcentral is "bacterial SSU rRNA". It matches the Rfam family "Bacterial small subunit ribosomal RNA", at positions 340 to 786 of the family's 1533-position model. The record is from RNAcentral.
UACGGAGGGCAGCAGUGGGGAAUAUUGCACAAUGGGCGCAAGCCUGAUGCAGCCAUGCCGCGUGUAUGAAAAAGGCCUUCGGGUUGUAAAGUACUUUCAGUCGUGAGGAAGGUGUUAAGGUUAAUAACCUUAGCAAUUGACGUUAGCGACAGAAGAAGCACCGGCUAACUCCGUGCCAGCAGCCGCGGUAAUACGGAGGGUGCGAGCGUUAAUCGGAAUUACUGGGCGUAAAGGGCACGCAGGCGGUUAAUUAAGUUGGAUGUGAAAUCCCCGGGCUUAACCUGGGAAUGGCAUUCAAGACUGGUUAGCUAGAGUCUUGUAGAGGGGGUUAGAAUUCCAUGUGUAGCGGUGAAAUGCGUAGAGAUGUGGAGGAAUACCGGUGGCGAAGGCGGCCCCUGGACAAAGACUGACGCUCAUGUGCGAAAGCGUGGGGAGCAAACAGGGAUUAGAUACC